RNAcentral lists this ribosomal RNA (492 nucleotides) under uncultured bacterium. Its description in RNAcentral is "partial 16S ribosomal RNA". It matches the Rfam family "Bacterial small subunit ribosomal RNA", at positions 29 to 507 of the family's 1533-position model. The record is from RNAcentral.
AGUGAACGCUGGCGGUAGGCCUAACACAUGCAAGUCGAACGGCAGCACAGUAAGAGCUUGCUCUUACGGGUGGCGAGUGGCGGACGGGUGAGGAAUAAAUCGGAAUCUACUUUUUCGUGGGGGAUAACGUAGGGAAACUUACGCUAAUACCGCAUACGACCUACGGGUGAAAGCAGGGGAUCUUCGGACCUUGCGCGAUUGAAUGAGCCGAUGUCGGAUUAGCUAGUUGGCGGGGUAAAGGCCCACCAAGGCGACGAUCCGUAGCUGGUCUGAGAGGAUGAUCAGCCACACUGGAACUGAGACACGGUCCAGACUCCUACGGGAGGCAGCAGUGGGGAAUAUUGGACAAUGGGCCCAACCCUGAUCCAGCCAUACCGCGUGGGUGAAGAAGGCCUUCGGGUUGUAAAGCCCUUUUGUUGGGAAAGAAAAGCAGCAGGUUAAUACCCCGCUGUUCUGACGGUACCCAAAGAAUAAGCACCGGCUAACUUCGUG